UGAUUUAAACUUAAAAUACACAGGCUGAGAGUUCUGAAACAUUUGAGUUCUGCAACUUUGCUCUACAAAACAAGGCUCCCUCAAUGACCAAUUUCACAAGAUUUCUACAAGGGGCCUUGGCUUUAAAGGGUUAAGACAGACAGAGAGGGUCUCUAUUGUCAGAGAGCUUGUAGGCCAGUGAGAAUGAAUCAGAAGACUGCCUUGGAGCUGAAACUUCCUUCCAAACAAUAGCUAUCAUUUAUUGGGAUUAUUGCAGAGCUCCCCGAAGACAGAAGAAGCAGGCAGAUAAGAGCUGAGUGAGACCUCCCAAAGAAGAUCAUAAAGAGAAGAGGACAUUGCACCAAGGAGGUGGCGCAGGCCAGUGGCCGCAGUGCUGGACCUGGGGCCGAGAGGACCCACAUGUAUAUCCUGGCCGAUUCAGGCAUCUUAGCCUUUCUGUGCCUCACUUUCCUUAUUUGUGAAAUCGGCAUUCUGAUCAUGAGUAAAUAAAAAUUGCUGCCGUUGAUCAAGGGCAUUGGGCCAGGCACUGUGCUAACCUCAUGCCUGGCACCGUCUCAUUUAAUCUUCACAGCAGCCCGAUGAAGACAAGGGGGCUCAGGAUGGUGAACUGACCUCUACGUAGCAGCAAAGUCGGCGUCUGAACUUGUCAGAGCAUCACAUCAAUUAAACUAAUUUUUCCUGGCUGGGCACAGUGGCUCAUGCCUAUAAUCCCAGAACUUUGGGAGGCCAAGGU
Long non-coding RNA from Sapajus apella (tufted capuchin), 733 nucleotides. RefSeq lists it as uncharacterized. The record is from RefSeq and is a predicted model, not a curated record. The transcript is spliced from 3 exons. NCBI's taxonomy places the organism in Eukaryota, Metazoa, Chordata, Mammalia, Primates, Cebidae.